RNAcentral lists this ribosomal RNA (274 nucleotides) under uncultured bacterium. RNAcentral's name for it is "partial 16S ribosomal RNA". It matches the Rfam family "Bacterial small subunit ribosomal RNA", at positions 523 to 796 of the family's 1533-position model. The record is from RNAcentral.
AUACGGAGGGGACAAGCGUUAUUCGGAAUCACGGGGCGUAAAGGACGCGUAGGCGGGUUAUUAAGUCGGGUGUGAAAUCCAAUGGCUCAACCAUUGAACUGCAUUCGAAACUGAUAACCUAGAGUAUGGAAGGGGCAGGUGGAAUUAGUGGUGUAGGGGUAAAAUCCGUAGAUAUCACUAGGAAUACCGAAAGCGAAGGCGACCUGCUGGGACAUUACUGACGCUGAGGCGUGAAAGCGUGGGGAGCAAACAGGAUUAGAAACCCGAGUAGUCC